RNAcentral lists this ribosomal RNA (351 nucleotides) under uncultured bacterium. RNAcentral's name for it is "bacterial SSU rRNA". It matches the Rfam family "Bacterial small subunit ribosomal RNA", at positions 8 to 349 of the family's 1533-position model. The record is from RNAcentral.
AGAGUUUGAUCAUGGCUCAGGAUGAACGCUAGCUACAGGCUUAACACAUGCAAGUCGAGGGGAAACGACAUCGAAAGCUUGCUUUUGAUGGGCGUCGACCGGCGCACGGGUGAGUAACGCGCAUCCAACCUGCCCACCACUUGGGGAUAACCUUGCGAAAGUAAGACUAAUACCCAAUGACGUCUCUAGAAGACAUCUGAAAGAGAUUAAAGAUUUAUCGGUGAUGGAUGGGGAUGCGUCUGAUUAGCUUGUUGGCGGGGUAACGGCCCACCAAGGCGACGAUCAGUAGGGGUUCUGAGAGGAAGGUCCCCCANAUUGGAACUGAGACACGGUCAAACUCCUACGGGAGCA